RNAcentral lists this ribosomal RNA (347 nucleotides) under Salmonella enterica subsp. enterica serovar Typhimurium. Its description in RNAcentral is "partial 16S ribosomal RNA". It matches the Rfam family "Bacterial small subunit ribosomal RNA", at positions 1155 to 1501 of the family's 1533-position model. The record is from RNAcentral. Lineage: Bacteria; Pseudomonadati; Pseudomonadota; Gammaproteobacteria; Enterobacterales; Enterobacteriaceae.
GUUUUUUAACUGGAGGGGAAGUGGGGAUGACGUCAAAUCAUCAUGCCCCUUAUGUGUAGGGCUACACACGUGCUACAAUGGCUGGUACAGAGAGAUGCAAUACCGCGAGGUGGAGCCAAACUUAAAAACCAGUCUCAGUUCGGAUUGUAGGCUGAAACUCGCCUACAUGAAGCUGGAGUUACUAGUAAUCGCGAAUCAGAAUGUCGCGGUGAAUACGUUCCCGGGUCUUGUACACACCGCCCGUCACACCAUGAGAGUUGGCAAUACCCGAAGUCCGUGAGCUAACCGCAAGGAGGCAGCGGCCGAAGGUAGGGUCAGCGUAUUGGGGUGAUUGAAAAAAAAUACAC